AAGUCGUAACAAGGUUUCCGUAGGUGAACCUGCGGAAGGAUCAUUAAAGAGUAAGGGUGCUCAGCGCCCGACCUCCAACCCUUUGUUGUUAAAACUACCUUGUUGCUUUGGCGGGACCGCUCGGUCUCGAGCCGCUGGGGAUUCGUCCCAGGCGGGCGCCCGCCAGACGUUAAAACCGAAAUACCAUCUUUGUUUAUUUUAAUCCCGGUCGUCUGAGUUAAAAUUUUGAAUAAAUCAAAA
Molecule: unclassified non-coding RNA, 240 nt
Filed under: plant metagenome
Description: partial contains small subunit ribosomal RNA and internal transcribed spacer 1
Rfam family: Eukaryotic small subunit ribosomal RNA (bases 1-46)
Source: RNAcentral